GGGGAAUUGUUCGCAAUGGGCGCAAGCCUGACGACGCAACGCCGCGUGGAGGAUGAAGGUCUUCGGAUUGUAAACUCCUGUUGCCCGGGACGAAUGGCUCCAACCUAAUACGUUGGAGUGUGACGGUACCGGGUGAGGAAGCCCCGGCUAACUCUGUGCAAGCAGCCGCGGUAAUACAGAGGGGGCAAGCGUUAUUCGGAAUUAUUGGGCGUAAAGGGCGCGUAGGCGGCUUUUCAAGUGGCGGGUGAAAUCCCUCGGCUUAACCGAGGAACUGCCUGCCAGACUGGAUUGCUUGAGUCCGGGAGAGGUGAGUGGAAUUCCCAGUGUAGCGGUGAAAUGCGUAGAUAUUGGGAGGAACACCAGUGGCGAAGGCGGCUCACUGGACCGGAACUGACGCUGAGGCGCGAAAGCGUGGGGAGCAAA
Molecule: ribosomal RNA, 423 nt
Filed under: uncultured bacterium
Lineage: Bacteria
Description: bacterial SSU rRNA
Rfam family: Bacterial small subunit ribosomal RNA
Source: RNAcentral